AACUCCACAUACGCAUCCUUUGCUGAGGAUACGGUUAACGGAGCGAAAGCGACGUUCAACCUCAAAAGAAGCAGAGGGGGCUUAGUGGUGGGGUGACUGCGUACCUUUUGUAUAAUGGGUCAGCGACUUAUAUUCUGUAGCAAGGUUAACCGUAUAGGGGAGCCGGAGGGAAACCGAGUCUUAAUUGGGCGUUAAGUUGCAGGGUAUAGACCCGAAACCCGGUGAUCUAGCCAUGGGCAGGUUGAAGGUUGGGUAACACUAACUGGAGGACCGAACCGACUAAUGUUGAAAAAUUAGCGGAUGACCUGUGGCUGGGGGUGAAAGGCCAAUCAAACCGGGAGAUAGCUGGUUCUCCCCGAAAGCUAUUUAGGUAGCGCCUCGUGAAUUCAUCUGCGGGGGUAGAGCACUGUUUCGGCUAGGGGGCCAUCCCGGCUUACCAACCCGAUGCAAACUGCGAAUACCGGAGAAUGUUAUCACGGGAGACACACGGCGGGUGCUAACGUCCGUCGUGAAGAGGGAAACAACCCAGACCGCCAGCUAAGGUCCCAAAGUCAUGGUUAAGUGGGAAACGAUGUGGGAAGGCCCAGACAGCCAGGAUGUUGGCUUAGAAGCAGCCAUCAUUUAAAGAAAGCGUAAUAGCUCACUGGUCGAGUCGGCCUGCGCGGAAGAUGUAACGGGGCUAAACCAUGCACCGAAGCUGCGGCAGCGAACGUAUCACCCAAGACAACUUUACGGAGUUGACGAUUGACGGAGCGCAGCGACGUCAAAGCGUUCAUUAAAGUCGAGUUGGCUUAGGGAUACGUUCGUUGGGUAGGGGAGCGUUCUGUAAGCCGUUGAAGGUGGCCUGUGAGGGUUGCUGGAGGUAUCAGAAGUGCGAAUGCUGACAUAAGUAACGAUAAAGCGGGUGAAAAGCCCGCUCGCCGGAAGACCAAGGGUUCCUGUCCAACGUUAAUCGGGGCAGGGUGAGUCGACCCCUAAGGCGAGGCCGAAAGGCGUAGUCGAUGGGAAACGGGUUAAUAUUCCCGUACUUGGUGUUACUGCGAAGGGGGGACGGAGAAGGCUAUGUUGGCCGGGCGACGGUUGUCCCGGUUUAAGCGUGUAGGCUGGUUUUCCAGGCAAAUCCGGAAAAUCAAGGCUGAGGCGUGACGACGAGGCACCACGGUGCUGAAGCAACAAAUGCCCUGCUUCCAGGAAAAGCCUCUAAGCAUCAGGUAACAUCAAAUCGUACCCCAAACCGACACAGGUGGUCAGGUAGAGAAUACCAAGGCGCUUGAGAGAACCCGGGUGAAGGAACUAGGCAAAAUGGUGCCGUAACUUCGGGAGAAGGCACGCUGACACGUAGGUGAAGUGAUUUACUCAUGGAGCUGAAGUCAGUCGAAGAUACCAGCUGGCUGCAACUGUUUAUUAAAAACACAGCACUGUGCAAACACGAAAGUGGACGUAUACGGUGUGACGCCUGCCCGGUGCCGGAAGGUUAAUUGAUGGGGUCA
RNAcentral lists this ribosomal RNA (1490 nucleotides) under Salmonella enterica subsp. enterica. RNAcentral describes it as "partial 23S ribosomal RNA". It matches the Rfam family "Bacterial large subunit ribosomal RNA", at positions 568 to 1892 of the family's 2925-position model. Lineage: Bacteria; Pseudomonadati; Pseudomonadota; Gammaproteobacteria; Enterobacterales; Enterobacteriaceae. The record is from RNAcentral.